This 433-nucleotide unclassified non-coding RNA is filed under the name soil metagenome. RNAcentral describes it as "partial contains 5.8S ribosomal RNA, internal transcribed spacer 2, and large subunit ribosomal RNA". The stretch from base 1 to 120 matches the Rfam family "5.8S ribosomal RNA", at positions 35 to 154 of the family's 154-position model. The record is from RNAcentral.
GAUGAAGAACGCAGCGAAAUGCGAUACGUAAUGUGAAUUGCAGAAUUCAGUGAAUCAUCGAAUCUUUGAACGCAUAUUGCGCUCUUUGGUAUUCCGAAGAGCAUGCUUGUUUGAGUAUCAGUAAACACCUCAAAGCUUUUGGAUUUUUUAAUCGAAAAGCUUUGGAUUGAGCAAUCCCAACACCAAUCUUUUUGAGAUCGGUGGCGGGUUGCUUGAAAUGCAGGUGCAGCUGGACAUUCUCCUGAGCUAAAAGCAUAUUCAUUUAGUCCCGUCAAACGGAUUAUUACUUUUGCUGCAGCUAACAUAAAGGGAGUUUGACCGUAUUGGCUGACUGAUGCAGGAUUUCACAAGGGUCGGCAACGAUUCUUGUUAAACUCGAUCUCAAAUCAAGUAAGACUACCCGCUGAACUUAAGCAUAUCAAUAAGCGGAGGA